This is a non-coding RNA of Gossypium hirsutum (cotton), 145 nucleotides long. NCBI's taxonomy places the organism in Eukaryota, Viridiplantae, Streptophyta, Magnoliopsida, Malvales, Malvaceae. The record is from Rfam.
UGUUAAAAAAUUUAUCCAUUUGUACUGUUAGAAAGUGACAUGACUGACGGAAUAAUCAAACAAUGACACGCGGCGUGUCAUGUGUACUUUAUGCUGAAGUACAAAGAUUAGUUUUUAACAAUAAAAAUGGAUGAAAACUUUAGUA